AGUGAACGCUGGCGGUAGGCCUAACCCAUGCAGUUCAGGCGGAAGCCCAGUAGGAGUUUGCUUUUCCGGUGGGGAGGUGGGGGAGGGGUGGGGAAUCAACCGGAUUCUCCUUUUUGGGGGGGGUUACGUUGGGGAACCUACGGUUAUUACGCAUACCACCCUCGGGUUAAAGGCAGGGGUUCUUCGACCUUUCCCCAAUGGAUUAGCCGAUGUCGGAUUAGCUAGUUGGCGGGGUAAAGGCCCACCAAGGCGACGAUCCGUAGCUGGUCUGAGAGGAUGAUCAGCCACACUGGAACUGAGACACGGUCCAGACUCCUACGGGAGGCAGCAGUGGGGAAUAUUGGACAAUGGGCGCAAGCCUGAUCCAGCCAUACCGCGUGGGUGAAGAAGGCCUUCGGGUUGUAAAGCCCUUUUGUUGGGAAAGAAAAGCAGCAGGUUAAUACCCCGCUGUUCUGACGGUACCCAAAGAAUAAGCACCGGCUAACUUCGUG
This 491-nucleotide ribosomal RNA is filed under the name uncultured bacterium. Its description in RNAcentral is "partial 16S ribosomal RNA". It matches the Rfam family "Bacterial small subunit ribosomal RNA", at positions 29 to 507 of the family's 1533-position model. The record is from RNAcentral.